This 10008-nucleotide long non-coding RNA is filed under the name Homo sapiens (human). RNAcentral's name for it is "non-protein coding GATA2-AS1:6". The record is from RNAcentral. Lineage: Eukaryota; Metazoa; Chordata; Mammalia; Primates; Hominidae.
GGGCCCCCUCCCUGCGCGCUCCUGGCGGCCCCUGCUGCCAACGCGCCCCACCACUAAGGGACCCUCACCCCAAGGCCCGACCCCUGCAGCCCCUCUUGCGAACACUCCGGGAUCCCUCGAUGCUCUGGGCCUCCCUAGCAGUAACUAACCACCAACUGCCCCCUCCCCAGGAGCCCGGGCCGCACACCCUCUGGAUGGCCUCUCCCCGAGACCCUAACCCCGCCACGCUCCUUCACCGCUGAACGUGGUCAGUCCGAGCGCAGUUACCUACCCAGACCGUUCCCUCCCCUAGCUCGGGCGCUGUCUGGGUGGACUGGGGGUUGGGAUGGUUCGGACGACAGCGGCGGAACAGCAGGAGCCGAGAGGGGCAGAGAGGGGCAGGAACUACAGGGCUCUAGAGGGCACCUGGGCCUCGGACACGCGGCCGCUCAGGGCUGUGCUUGACCCAGUGGAGGUGGCCCGGCCGGUGGCUCCAGAAAGGGGGAGGGGGCACCCCUCCCCGGGCGUGGCCUUCGCAGGCCAACGGGCCCAAUUGCCUGGGGCGAGGCCGUGGAGACCCGGACUGGCGCCGGCGCCAGCUGGAGGGAGACGCCCCCGGGCAAGAGCUUACGAUUCUUCAUCAACUCGUAAAAUGAGAUCGCCGCGGAGCUCGAGCCUAUUUGGCGUCUCCGGAGACUAGCAAGACCCUCUGAAAGACACCGCGUCCCCAGGGAUAAUCCCCCGUGUCCGGCAAAGCUGCCCCGCUCGAGCGCGAACCCUGGGACCCAGCGCGGGAGGCAGACCAGCAGCUGGCCGCUGGGCUGUGAACGCCAGGACCGAGCGGAAGCUUCCCGCCCGGCCGCGAUCGGUGCCGCGGCUCUCAGGGAAGUGGCUACGCGCGUCCCUCGGGAAAGCAGAGUAAUUUGCCUGUUUCUGGCAAAUCUGAAGAUUGGAAUGCCACACGGCCCAGCCAUUCCUUUUCCAGGCAUAUGAGAAGCCCUCACACAUGAGCAAGAAAGAGAUGUGGCCAAAGACAUUCAUGGAGCCCUGUUUGUUAAAACAGAGAAAAAGAAAUUAAGAAAUACCCAGCCUGGGCAACAUAGGGAGACCCUGUCUCUACUAAAAAUAAAAAUUUAUACUUGGGAGGCUAAGGCAGGAGGAUCACUUGAGCUCAGAAGAUCGAAGCUUGCAAUCAGCUGUGAUCGUGUCACUGCAUGCCAGCCUGGGUGACAGAGAGUGAGACCCUGUAUCAAUAAAGAAAGAAAGAAAGAAAAGAAACAGAAAUAAACUUAGGACACAGCAGACGGCCCAUCCUGAGGGUACCACAUAGCAGAUGCUGGGACCUUUUUUCAGGUGGACGCCACAUGACCUUUCCUUUGCAGGCAUCCAUGCUGAUGUUCACAAGGCACACAGCAUUUCAGCUGAAGAAAGAACUGGCAGGAUUUUCAUCACGAAAGGGCACUGUCUAUCGUUUAUGAAAAUGAAGCAUAUGAAGUAAAAGUUUGGAAACAGAUGGAAUUAAAUCUUCUGACAGAUUUUAAAAUAAGAUCUAAAAAAGAGCAAGACAUGCUCUUGGAUGGGGAAACUUAAUAUCAGAAAAAUGUCAAUUUUCCCAUUUUUUCCAUAUAAAUUUAAUGUAAUUCAAAUUCCAUUACCAACAGGGUGAUUUUUUAAAAAACUAGAUAAAAUGAUCUGAAAGAUUAUGCAGCAGAAUAAAUGCCCAAGAAUUACCAGGGAAGACUGGAAAAAAGACUGCUGUGGGGGUUUUGCCUUCCUGGAAAUAAGACCAUACUGCAAAGUCACUGUAAUCAGAUCAAUAUGGCAUUGGCAGAGGACUAGACAAUGGAAAGGAAUGGAGAAUACAAAAAUAAGUUUCAGGAUAUAUGAGAAUGAGAUAUAUGCCAAAGGUAGUAUUUUGAUUCGGUGGGAGAAGGGCAGACUGUGAAGUAAGUGGUACCAGCCACAACUGAAUAUCCAUCUGGGAUAAAAUAAAAUUGCACUCGUCUUAGAGAUCCAAAUCAACUUCAGAUGGAUUAAAACUUUGAAUGUAAAAAACAUAAAUGACUAACAGUCCUGCAAAAUAUCUUGGAGACAACCUGUGCCAUCUGGAGAGUGGGAAGAGCACAUGCAAAGGCCAAGGGGUGGAGCAGCCCAGCAUGUUCUGGAAAAGGUAGGGCUCCCCAAGGCUGGGAUGAUGGUGGAGACCUGGGUGUGUGGGAGCACAGGGGUGGGGGCCCGUGGGCCAGGAAUGCACAGAGAGGGGCUGGUGCUCUGCCGCAGGCCCAAGCCCCCAAAGCCCGGUCAUUCCCAGCACCAUCUUCACGGGUUUCUGCCCAGGUCUUUCUGCUGCAUCUCUUCCUCCCCCGAUUCCUUAAUCAUUUUUUUUAAAAUCAGUUCAUGUCUUUGUAAACCAAAUUAUUUCUAAAAGGCAAAUUUAUAUUACUGCCGAAAUCAAGGGUCAGUGAGCUAGUUGUGUAUGUUCUGAAUCACAUGGAAAUAAAUGCAUCGAACAUUAAGAAGGAAAGAGUGUCUAGCGUUAGCUACCUUGGUGUGCUGGGCUCAAUGUGCAUUUUGGAAGUUGCCCUGCCACCUUGUGGGCAGGAGGGACUGGAUGAGUAGGGAGUCGGAGUGAGCAUGAAGGUGACCAGAAAGUCCAUUCCUUAGAAAGUGAGGAGGUGGCAGCCAGGGUCCAGGCCUGGGCCCUGCCUGCCCCCUCCUCACACACCAGCCUCCCGUCUGUCAUUCUAGAACCUGACCACUUCCCGCCUCAACAAGCAGCCGGCCUGGUCCUAGCUCUCGCCUGGACUACUGGAAUAGCCUCCUUGCUGGAAGUCCUCAACUUCCCCACUUUCUGUUCAUAGUACAGUGGCCGGCGGGGGCCCGUGAGGAUAGAAGUCAGGCCAGGUGCAGUGGCUCACGCGUGUAGUCCCAGCACUUCAAGAGGCCAAGGUGGGUGGAUUGCUUGAGCCCAGGAGUUCAAGACCAGCCUAGGCAACACAGUUAAACCCCAUCUCUACAGAAGAUACAAAAGUUAGCUAGGCGCAGUGGCGCACGCCUGUAGUCCCAGCUACUUUGAAGACUGAGGCGGGAGGAUCACCUGAACCCAGAAGGUCAUGGCUUCAGUGAGGCUGAUUGUGUCACUGCACUCCAUCCUGGGCAACAGAGUGAGACCCUGUCUCAAACAAAAACAAAAAAAGAUGUAAGUCAAACCUGUCCCAUCUGCGCCACACCCUCCCGCAGCACCCGGGUCCCUCUUGGCCUCUUUGGUCUCAUUCCCUUUGCUUGCUCCACUCCAGCCCCACUGGCUUCCUUCUUGUUUCUCAAACAGCUGGCACACAUCCACCCCAGAACAUUGGCACUAGCUGUCCCUGUACCCAGAUACCACAUGGCUUCCUCAUACUUUGGGCCUGGUCACCUUCUUGGACCACCUCCUGAUGAACUGUGGGUGACAGCUGGAGCACAGGUGGGUUCUGGAAGCCCUGCAGCCUGGGGUCAGGAUGAAGAUUACCCAGGGCCAGCAGGCAAGCCUGAGAGGCCGGUCUCCAGGCUUUGCAGCUCCCGGCAAGAGGUCCCAGAGGUCUUGCCCUUCCAGAGAUGAAUGCUUGAGGCCCAGAACAUGGGGCCAUCCGGAGCCAAGGCCUGGGAUGUUAGAGGAGGGGAACUCGGGACUCCAUGCAAGGACCACGGGUCAGCCCUGUGCCUGUCCAGACCACCUGCAUGGGACACAGCAGGGGCCCAGAACUGGGCAUCCAGUGGAUCACUGCAGCAGCAUCUGUGUGUCCAUAUCCAGGUAGCCGCACCCAGAUUUUCCCUCCAGGGACCACCCCCUCCCACUCUCAGUUCAAGGUGGUCCAUGUGGAGCACCCACCUCUGGCCCAGCCAGUCAGAGCCAUCCUGGCUGAUUGAUUCUGGGCACAUGACUCUGGAGGAUCCAUGGAGAGUCCAACCUGGAAACUUGGCAAGAAUCCUCGGGGACUGCCCUCCUGCUGGGGUCAUGUGGCACUGGGAGCUGCGGUGGCCAUCUUUACUGCCACCCAGGAGAGCCUGCCGGAGAGUGAGACCAACACAGAGCAGCAGAGACAGAGACAGACUGGCUCCCGAGCGUUCAGCCCCAGUGCCGGAAGCCAGCUAGAGCCCUGGCCUUUUCAGUGACAUGAGCCAAUGACAACUCCCAGUUCUCUCCCUCCGGUCAAUCUGAAGCCGGGUUUUUGCCUCUUACAACUGAAAGAGUCCUGGUGGUCACAGGCAUGGCUGAUUAAAGAUGCCCACCAGGUCUUUGUUACACCCUCAUAUACUUGGGGCCUUGAAUGUGGGUGUGCUCUGAGAUGACUUGACCAGGAGAAUACGGUAGCAGUGACACUGCAGUUUCCAGCCCAGGCCUGAAGAGAUGAUUAGCGCCCACUCCUUGCUUCUUGAAAGUCUCUCCUUGGGAGUCCUGGGCUGCUAUGUUAAAAAUCCAACUGCCCUGAGGCCACCAUGAUGUGAGGAGGCUGGAGCCAGGUGGAGAGGCCAUGGUGGCGAAAGAGCUGCCGGACCAGUUCCCAUUGCCCCAGCCCCCAGCCAUCUGAGUCAUCCCCACUGAGGACACAGAUAUCACAGAGCAGAUACGAGCUAUCCCUGCACCGCCCAUCCAGAUUCUUUACCCAGUUUGUGAGAUAUAAUAAUAAUGAACUGUUUUAGGCCACUGAGUUUUGGGGUCAUUUUUAAAGCAGCAAUAGACAGAUGGAACAAUAGUAAUGAGCAAAGGGCCACAUAUACCUAUUGGAUUGGGAAGCAAGACAGAGAUGGGGCUGCCACUGUGCGCAGGAUCGACUCACCUCCUUGGGAAUUCUUAUACACGCCCGUAUGAGUGCAGGAUGCAUGAGUAGGAUAGUGGAGCCGAAAGGGUCUUGAUAGCAGAUGGCCUUGAAUUUGAGUCCCUACUCUGCUGUAAGAUCAGCUCUGAGUCCCAGGGCUAUGUUAUUUCCCCUCCUCGAGCCUCAGUUUCUUCACCUAUCAUAUAAAAAUAUUAGUACUGUGUUGCUAGGAUGAGAUUCAGCUGCACAUAACAAGGAGAUACAAAUUUUUUUUUCUGUCAUGUGAAAAUUCACAGGUAGGCAAUCCAGGGCUACUAUAUCACUCCCUGGUGUCAGAAAGCAAGGUUGGCUUUCGUCGCCUCACAUUCCAAGAUGGCUGUUACAGCCUCACCAUUGUAUCUACAUUCCAGGGAGCAGCAAGGAGGAAGUGAAUAAAGAACAAAAUGUUCACAUCAGCUGUCUCUUAAGGAAGUCCCCUGAAAGCUGACACAUCCACUUGUAUCCCAUUGGCUAAAGCACAGUCACAUGACCAUAUCUAGCUGCAAAGGAGGCUAGGGAAUGUAGUCUUGCUCUGGGAAAUCAUGUGCUCAGCUAAAAUUCUAUGGAGGAAUAAUAGCUUUUGGAAGAUACCUGACAGUCUCUGCCAAAAGUAUCUAUGUCAAGAGUUUAUGUAAUGACUGACGUGAUUUUGAAGAGGUUUUGUUUUGAACCUCUGCUGCAUGCCAGUUUCCACAAAACUAACUGCAAAAGACAUAAUCAGGUCUUUUGUAGGACAUGGCACAGGGGCUGACACAUAGUAGGUGCCCAGUAAAUGAGGCGUCCUUGUUUGCUCUUCUAGCUGCACACCUUGCUGCUCUCCUCAAUGGUGUUUCUCUGCCCCAACCCUCCAAGGAUGAGCUCCCUCCCCAAGAGGAUACCCUGUUUCAUUUUCUUCACAUCAUUUACCAUAACUAUUUGUUUCUUAAUUUGUUCAUCAUCCAUCUCUCUCCACUCUAAUAUACACAACACGAAGAGAGGGAGAGUAUCUCUAGGGUCCCACCAAGGAAAUAGAAGUCACUUGAAAAGUGUAAAGCUUAAUUUAAAAGUUAAAAUUCAGAGAUGUGAUUGUGCAGGUGAUGGAAUUGCUAAGAACAGGGGACAAUGAGGCAGCACAGAAAUUAGGAGCAAGAAGCUGUUACCUCCCCAGGGUUGGAGGGGCAAUGGGAGGAGAUGGCAUUACCAGAGCCCAAGGCCUGGGUGACACAGGGAGACUCAGCAGGCCUGUCCAGUGGGAGCUGUAGCUGUAGGAAAGACAGAGCCACACCAGAGAUGCCACCUGAGAUGAAGAGGAAGGGGGAGAAUACCCUGGCUCCUCCCUUGUUCACUCCAGGGCCUCUCAUUGGCUGAAUCCAGCAGGAAUCCAGCUGGCCUCACACCUUGGGGCUAAGCUCCCCUCCCUGAUGGGUGACACAGAGCCAAGGGAUGGGAUAACAAGAGCUAAGGGCAAACUAGCCCGGGGCUGGCACUGGUGACUUCAUCUGUCUUGUUAUCUUCUGCAUCUGGAGCUUCAAAGGCACAGCCUGGCACACGGUAGGACCUCAAUAAACAGUGGAUGAAUAGAUUGGGGUUCUCAACUCACCUUAGCACCUAUAGAAGCUGUUUAGAGUCCACAAAACAACUCUUGUACCUGUGAGGGCUCCUAGGUGCUAGGCCCACAAAGGGAGGCAUGUUAUGGCCGUGGCAUUCUGCUUGGCCAGGAUCCGAGAGGAGCCUCCCAAUUGGAGGAUUUAGCCCAAGUUGCUUCAUUCCCUGUCCAGUGGAGCCUGGCCUCUCUCUCAGCCUCCAUCAACACCCAGAAUCCUCCAUGAUGAGCUCCUAUCCCACCAGGGCAGAGAGUGGGCAUGUCCUCAUCAGGGAGAGAAAGGACAGAGACAGACAGACAGGAAGAGAGAAACAGCCAUGCAGCCAGGGCUGGGGCUCUGCUUGCCAUUGCCCUCUAUGCACUCUAACUGUGGCAAAACCUGUGCAAAGUACAUGGAUGCUACCAACCACUGGCAAAGGAAUAGGAAGCAUAUUCCUGUGGCCCGGCAAAUGCGUGGGGAUGGCUUCAUCCACAUCCUGCAGGAAGAAAUUAAAUUAAUUGACAGGUCCAAAUGUGAGUGGACAGGUGGGGCAGCAGGAGCUCUGCACGCCACUGGUGGGAGUGUUUUUUGGAAAGUGCACUUUGUAAGAGAAUUUGGCAACACUAACAAGGACGUGUGUACAGGUGAGCUCAGCAGUUCCCUGCACAGGUAAAAUCUCAGCAGCAUCCACUGAUAUAAACACAACCACAGUAACAACGCCUGGGAGCCACCCAGGUCCAUUCACAGGAGAAAGGAUAAAUGAACCAUGUCAUGCCCACACAAUGGAAUACUCGACAGCAAUGAAGACGAACAACAGUGUCACGCAUCAACGCAGAUGUACCUCCCAACAAUACUGUGAGAGAAAAAGGCAAGUCACCAAAGAACACGUAUGUAUGAGGCCAUUCAAAUAGCUCUUCUGGAUUUCACUCCUGGGGAUGUCAAGGACCCACUAGAGUUUCCAAGCCAUGUUCACAUGUCACCUCCUUGACUAAAGGGACAUGACCAAUAAAUGCAAUGUGGGGUCCUGAACUGGAUCCUAGAGCAGGACAGAAAUAGCUAUAAAGGACAUUCUUGGGACAAUUGACGUUUAGAUAUGGAUUGUGGGGUUCGAUCAUAGUAUCAUAUCAAUGCAAAUUGUCCUAGCUCUGAUAAGCAUAUGUGUUUAUGUAAGAGAAUGUCCUUGUUUUUAGGGAACAAACACUGAAAUAUACAAUAGUAGAGAGGCAUCAUGUCUCCACCAUACUCUCAGAUGGUUCAGGAGAAAUAUGCGUGUGUCUCCGUACAUAUUAAUAUAGAGAGAAUGGUACAGCCAGUGGGACAAGUUGUAAGCAAUUGGUGAAUCUAGGUAAAGGGUAUAUGGGAAAUUGCAUCAAAAUUAAAAGUUAUGAACAUGGGGGAGAAAACCCAGUUCUUCUAUAAAAACAGCCUCCAGCCUCUCCCUCCAGCACAACCUGUCCCCACACGUGGGGCACCCGGCACCCAUGCUCUGGCUCUUGUCUCUCUGGGUCUUAGUCCCACUUAGCACCCCACACCCAAAGGUCAUGUUUUCACAGAUGUGUACCCUCAAGACUAAACACACACUUGAGGCAUUCAUGUGACUAUACAUAUUUAUGGAAAAAGAAAAUUCUUGGGCUCACAAAACUGAACGCUCCAGGGUGGACUGUCUCAGGUGGCCUUAAUCGGGGUGCUGACAACAUCCAGACGAGCACGCAGGCUUCUCUCCCUGCCACGGCGGUGCCAUUCUCCAACGGACUCUGCCGCCGUGGCUGCAAGAUGGUGGCAGCAGCUCCAACCCCUGCACCCUUUUGUGGCCAAGUCCAGUGGGAAGAAUGUGAGGUCUUCUUCCAGAAGCUUCUGCAGAUUCUCAUUAGCUUCAGCUGGGUCAUGUGUCUGUCAUCCCUGACCUGGCCUCUGGGGUCAGGAAGGCACCAUGGUCAGACUGGCCAGGCCUGAGCCCCAAGCCCCAAGUCCAACCUCUUCACAAAGCACAGCUGGCUGGGGCAGAGCGGUGCCCCCAGUGGAAAAUCAAGAUGCAGUUUCAGAAGGAUGGAAAUGGAUGCUGGGUGGCGAAACGGCAGAAACCCACCCCGGCCCACGCCCUUGCCUGUCCAAAAUCCAUGCACAUGCUUCUUCCCAUGCUCCCUCUGGGGGAGGUGUGCUAGGCAGCACAGAUGUAUGCACAGCUCCCCACAGAUGCCACCCUCAUCCUUGGAAACUGUCAAUGCCCAUGAAUUUGUUACCUCACGUAGCAAAAGAGACUUUGCAGAUGUAAUUAAGGCUGCUCGUCAGUUGACCUUAAAAUAGGGAGAGUGUCUUGGAUCAUCCACAUGGGCUCAGUGGGUCACACAAGCCCUUAAAAGCAGAGAACUUUCCAUGGCUGGUGGCAGAGGUAGAAAGGACAUUGGAAAGAGACAGCAUGGGGGAAAGGGAGAUUUAAAGCUUGGGAAGGAAGGAUGGAAAGCGCGACUGCUGCUUUGAAAACAAAGGAAGCCUCAGGCCACGUAGCAAAGAAAUGGAGACCCCAGGCCUGCAAUCAUAAGCGACUGAAUUCUGCUCACAACCCUAAUGAGCACCUCCGGGAAAGAGCCCAGCCUGCCAACACCUCGAUUUUGCCUUGUAAGCCCCUAAGCAGAAAAUACAGUUGAGGCACUCUCUGCCCAGACUUGCAGUGCACAGAAACUGUGAUGCUAAAUGGAUGUUGCUUGAAGCUGCUCAGUUGGUGGCACUUUGUUACAGCAGCAAUGGAAAAUGAAUACUGGAGGUAACACUGUCUCUCCCAGUGACAGGUCCGGCUCCAGGAGCUGGACCCCAGUGACCGUGUUACAGUCUAGGCUUAAGGCCCCCCUCACUCCCAACCUCACCUGUGCAGAGAGGGAAGGAAAAGUGCCAUGUCAACCCCCAGUAAGGGAAAGGAGGAUGGGAGACCCCUAGCCUGCAGCACAUCCAAAGCCCUGCUAGAAAAAUACUGAGAAAUGUUAGACAUUGAGCUACCACAGGACCCAGGAUUACAACUCCUGGGUAUCUACCCAAGGCAAAUGAAAACAUGUGUCCCCAGAAAAAUUUGCACACAAUGUUCAUAGCAGCAUUAUUUAUAAUAAUUGAGAAAUGGGAAUAGCCCAAAUGCCCAUCAGCUAAUGAAUAGAUAAACAAAAUAUGGCAUAGCUAUACAAUGGAAUAUUAUAUGGCCCUAAAAAGUAAUGAAGAAGCCAGACAUAAAAGGCUUUGUGUGAUUCCAUUUCCAGACAGAAAGCAGAUUAGUAGUUGCUGCAGGCUGGCGGGAGGGAGGAAUGGAAAGUGGCUGCUAACAGGAACACGGUUUAUUCUGGGGGCAAUGAAAGUGUUCUAAACUUAGAUGUGAUGAUGGAUGUACAACUGCGUGAAUAUACUAAAAAGCAUUGAAUGGCAUUGAAUGGUUCAUCUUAAAUGGGUGAAUUUUAUAGUGCGUGAAUUAUAUAGAUAAAGAUGUAAAAGAUUUGUUUAACAUCAAUAAAGAUGUAAAAAAAAAAAUGUUGAGUUUCUUGGGCAGCCAGUUCAACUGCCCAGCCCUGCCCUCUAGGAGGAAAACGAGUACUCCCUGCCCACCCUUCACCAUUCCCACAUCUGAAGUGGGCAUUGGGGAUCUCAGUUCUCUA